Molecule: ribosomal RNA, 293 nt
Filed under: uncultured bacterium
Lineage: Bacteria
Description: partial 16S ribosomal RNA
Source: RNAcentral
GGACUACAGGGGUUUCUAAUCCCGUUCGCUCCCCUAGCUUUCGCCCCCGAGCGUCAGGUACCAGCCAGGACACUGCCUUCGCCUUUGGUGUUCUUCCAGAUAUCUACGCAUUUCACCACUACACCUGGAGUUCCAUGUCCCUCUCUGGUCCUCGAAGUGCGACCGUUUUUGCCCACCUGGGCCAGUUAAGCUGGCCCCUGUCAGGGCAAACGCGCCGCACCGCCUGCGGGCCCUUUACGCCCAGUAACUCCGGACAACACUGGCCCCCUACGUAUUACCGCGGCUGCUGGCAC